This 400-nucleotide ribosomal RNA is filed under the name uncultured bacterium. RNAcentral's name for it is "bacterial SSU rRNA". It matches the Rfam family "Bacterial small subunit ribosomal RNA", at positions 355 to 748 of the family's 1533-position model. The record is from RNAcentral.
CCAGGAAUCUUGCACAAUGGGCGAAAGCCUGAUGCAGCAAUACCGUGUGGGUGAGGAAGGCCUUCGGGUCGUAAAGCCCUGUUGUUGGGGACGAAGGGCGAAGGGUUAAUAGCCCCUAGCCUGACUGUACCCUUCGAGGAAGCCCCGGCUAACUACGUGCCAGCAGCCGCGGUAAUACGUAGGGGGCGAGCGUUGUCCGGAAUUAUUGGGCGUAAAGAGCGUGUAGGCGGCCCGGUAAGUCUGCUGUGAAACCCUGGGGCUCAACCCCGGGCGUGCAGUGGAUACUGCCGGGCUAGAGGAUGGUAGAGGCGAGUGGAAUUCCCAGUGUAGCGGUGAAAUGCGCAGAUAUUGGGAGGAACACCAGUAGCGAAGGCGGCUCGCUGGGCCAUACCUGACGCUG